GGGGUGGGGCUGUGAGCACCUGGUAAAGGUUGAGAAUGGGAGUUUGUGCUUUCAAGAAUCCUUGGGAACAGAUCGGAAUUGCGGGUUUUUGGAGUUUGGGCAGGGUGUGAGUGCUGACCUACGUGGGUGGAGCUAUUGGGAUACUAGGGCGGAGCUUUGGAUUCCAACUUAACUUGGCCCAGAUCUACUUAAGGACAAGGAAGGACUGUGCAGGUUGAACUGGUGGGCCAGACUGUCAGUACUCAGUAAGGUGGUCAGGGCCUCCAACGUACCAGCCAGUGCUGUGUGUGGUGAGAUUAUGUUGAUAGAGCUAAGCUUUGGAUCGUGGCAUUACUUGUUGGAGGACUACAGGAGGAGGAAGGCUUGCCUGUGCGUGUGAGCCGGAUUAGAAAUGAUGGGCGGGGCUGUGUAUGCUGAGAUAGAUUGCUGACAUAUGAAGUAGGAACAGAGCUUUGGAUAGUGACAUAGUAAAGUCCCAGAAAUUCUGAAAGAGAAUGACAGUGUCGUUUGAGAUGUAAGAGCCAGGUUUUGGGUUGUGGAUGGGGCUGUUAAUGCCAGUUUGGAUCUCUAAAGUGCUGGCCAGGACUGUGAAUUGUGAGUGUGACAGCAGGGCUGAGCAAUCCUGAUAGAAUGUGAUAGAAGACCACUUAAGGAAUAGGACGUGGAUGUGGAUGCUGACAUAAGAGUACGGAUUGUGUAUGCUGGACAGGAUGGGUGCACUACUGUGAGUAGUGCUAUAUGAAGCAAGGGAGGAGGAGUCUGGUCAUUUGUGAUGAUGCAGGAGUGGCGGGUAGGACACUGCUUUCUGAGUUAGUUGUGGUGAGUAGUACUGUGUAGGUUGUUGUCUGAUGAUGGGCAGUACUGUGCACACAGUGUGGUUGGAGUGGUGGGAGGGGUGUGGGUUUGAAGGUAGGAGAGGUGGGUGUUGUUGCGAAUGUUGCUCAGGGCACCCAGGGUUUACAGAGUACUGGGAAAGGUCUAUAGGUAUUUCUGGAGGGGGAGGGAGACAUCUGAAUACUGACAUACCAUGACAGAGGAUCACUGGAGAGGGAAGAACAAGACUGUAUGCUGAAGUAGGAGUGGUGGGCUUAGCUGUGAGUGCUGACCUAGGUGAGCUGUCUCGAGAGUAACAGGGAUGGUUGUCAAUGGUAAGAUAUGAAGUGGGGAUUGAACUUUGGAUAUUAAUACAAGAUGAUGCAGGACCACUGGAAGUGGGGGGCAGAGAAGUGUAUGCUGAAGUGGGGGUGAUUGGUGAAGUAUGAAGUAGAGCUUUGAAUACUGUCAUAAUAAAUUUCAGACUGCUGAUGUAGGGCUGGGCUUUGAGUGCUCACCUCCAUGGGUGAGUCAAUGGAAGCAGUGUUGUAGGACAAAGGAAGACAGCAGUGAAUUCUAACCUAACAAGACUCAUGCUAAUGGAGAAGCCCAGCUGAGUGUGUUGAGAUUAGCACUAGAGGCAGAGAUAAAGGAAAAUCAGGGUGGGCCUGUGAGUACUGUGGUUGACCUGGGGGCAGGGAGUGGGCUCCUGAGUAAGCAAGAUAAAGUUGUUAGUGGCAGAGUAGAUGGGAGAGGAAGAAGUUUAGGGCAGACCCCUGGAUUAAAAAGUAAGGCAUUUGGAAUGGGGCUGCAGGAAGAGGAGCUAAGCCGGACUGUGAGAGCUGAGGUGGGGAUGUGGAAAGUGUCCUAUAAGUUGCUGUAUAGAUAUGGGUGGGGCUUGGGAGGAGCAGGGUAGAGCAGGGUAGGGACCUUUUAGGUAUGUCAAAGAAGCUUGUAGAGUAGCUACUUGGAGUUGGAAGGAGGCACUCAGAGAUUGUGAGGCACAUCCUUAAGUAAGAGAGGCAAAGUAAGAAGAGAAGGAUGCCUUAGGGACCUAACCAUAUCCUGAGGGUGAUCUCCAGGGGACACCUUAGAGGGCAUGAAUGCUGCAAAAAAAAAAAAAAGGCCAGGAACUUUUGUCUGGGACUCAGGUAUACUUAAGCUAAGUCUUAAAGGGUAAGACUCAAUUCCUGAGGAGGUCAGCCUCCUUUUCUCCAAGCCCUGCUGUCUAAAAGUACCAAUGGUCCUAAUCUUACUAAGGUUUAUUUCAAGUGCGAAUUUGGCAGCCAACUCUGGAUCCCUACCUCUGCGGUGCCUAGAAGAAAAUAUGGCUGUCUUCUUGUUUGCCAGGGCUACCCAAGGUCAGUCUUCAUCUGCUGCCUGAGCUCCUUUCCGAGCCUCUGGAUGAGCUUGUCCUGGAUAUCUCCACUUCAACCAUUCUCCACACGCAGGUCAAAGAAUAUCCUAUUACCCAUCCAUACAGCCCAUACACCUCCCCAAGUUCUGGCAAAUGGGAUCAUAUAGUACUACCCGGAGCCCUACAUUUAUUGCUGGUUUUGACAUUUCAUAUGGACGAGAAGAAGCUGUGCCUCAGGAACCCUAGACAUGGAUGGACUACUUAGUCUAUUGGCAUCCAUGUAAUGCAGUACCAGGCCUUAAUUGACCAUGAACUCUCCUAGAGCAUGCAAAAGCAACUGUAUCAUCGUGGGUCAUCUAAGAAGACACAGAGCUGGAAUCCUGUGACACACAGAUGUGAUGGAAUCCAGCACAUCAGAGGAAAGAGGAGAGGCACUACUCCCUGAGUGAAUGGUGAUUCCACAUCUUCAUCUGUCCUCUUGAUUUCCAAGACUCCCUCCAUCUCCAGGGAAACUUCAAGUGAUUUCUCAUUGAGGUGCAAUGUGGGCUUCUGAGCAGGAGGACUUUACUGUUGCCUUCAGGCCUUAUAUGAUUUUUUUUGAAGGAACUCCAUUGCCAACAUCCUGUAUGCUUAACUUUAGAGUCAAUUUUCUUUUGUGAACAUGCAUGUAAGUGUUUCCUAUGCUCAGAGGCCAGGGGUCUUGGGUGUCUGUCUCUAUUACUGUCUGCCUUGUUUCUUUUAUACAAAACUUGUCCCUGCA
This 2930-nucleotide small RNA is filed under the name Rattus norvegicus (Norway rat). RNAcentral's name for it is "uncharacterized LOC102547109". Lineage: Eukaryota; Metazoa; Chordata; Mammalia; Rodentia; Muridae. The record is from RNAcentral.